Molecule: ribosomal RNA, 300 nt
Filed under: Triticum aestivum (bread wheat)
Lineage: Eukaryota; Viridiplantae; Streptophyta; Magnoliopsida; Poales; Poaceae
Description: partial small subunit ribosomal RNA
Source: RNAcentral
AUGCCGACAUCGCCGCCGUCGCUCCUGGACCUCCUGAGCCCCUCCCCUCCUGCUCCUGAGGCGGCGGCGUCGUCUGGACACGGCGGCGCCACGGUGGUGCAGGUGGUGCCGAUGGACGUGUCCGAGGAGCUGCUGGGCAAGUUCAUGGACGCCAGCGAGUUCGGCUUCGACUACGACACGAGCGGCCUCUGGUCCCCGCUCGUGCUGCUGCGGCCGGAGGUCCUCGCGCUCGCCUCGGCCCGCGCCAAGCGCCCACGCCCUCGCCGGGGCUGGAGAAGGAAGAUGUUUUGCUGCUGGUGA